This 255-nucleotide ribosomal RNA is filed under the name uncultured bacterium. RNAcentral's name for it is "partial 16S ribosomal RNA". It matches the Rfam family "Bacterial small subunit ribosomal RNA", at positions 524 to 776 of the family's 1533-position model. The record is from RNAcentral.
GACGGAGGAUGCAAGUGUUAUCCGGAAUCACUGGGCGUAAAGCGUCUGUAGGUCGUUUAAAAAGUCUACUGUUAAAAAUUGAAGCUUAACUUCAAAGCAUGCCGAUAGAAACUUUUAAACUUGAGUAUGGUAGGGGUAGAGGGAAUUUCCAGUGGAGCGGUGAAAUGCGUAGAUAUUGGAAAGGCCACCAAUGGCGAAGGCACUCUACUGGGCCAUUACUGACACUGAGAGACGAAAGCUAGGGGAGCAAAUGGG